Molecule: non-coding RNA, 500 nt
Organism: Drosophila melanogaster (fruit fly)
Lineage: Eukaryota; Metazoa; Arthropoda; Insecta; Diptera; Drosophilidae
Source: Ensembl
UGCUGUGUAGUUGUGGGCACAAACAAACAAACACGCACACUUGCACACGGUUCUAUCUAUUAAUCAUUUAAUAGUCAUCCAAAUUAUUAGGAAUUCUGCGCUUGUUUAGACAAAACCUUUAACCACAUUUUGAUUGACCCGAUAUUGACUGAGUACUCUAAGUAAGCUAGCUGCUUUACGUUGAAAGUACAGUACAGGCUAUUUUACCACCUGUCCACACACACACACGCUAACACACGUUCAUGAACGAAGAGACCGCAUACUCACACACUCACACCGCUUUUGGCCGUCUUCCUGCGCCGCUUAGCAAAUUGUCAAUUCUUUAUCAAUUCGCCCAGUUCAACCACUUAAACGAAAUGCAAAUCCAAUUCCCAGUGCAGCGGAAAAGGCGGACAGGUGGUAAACUCAACGGAUUAAGACAUUUCACGCUGAUUUCCCAGAAUGCUGGAUUAUUUGUGAUGGCUUAGGGGGAUUUUAAGAAAAUUGUUCUACUUAAAAAU